Molecule: long non-coding RNA, 2616 nt
Organism: Acinonyx jubatus (cheetah)
Lineage: Eukaryota; Metazoa; Chordata; Mammalia; Carnivora; Felidae
Exons: 2
Source: RefSeq, a predicted model, not a curated record
UUAUUUUUGAGAGAGAGUGAGCUAGAGUGAGCAGGGAGGGACAGAGAAAGAGGGAGAGAGAGAAUCCCAAGCACUGACAGCACAGAGCCCGAUGCAGGACUCCAUCCCACGAACCAUGAGAUCAUGGUUAUGAUCUUAACCGACUGAGCCAUCCAGGCACCAAAAGUGAUUGUUAUUAAUUAUACUGUUGAUGCAAUUGGAGUCAACUUUAUACAUAUAUAUUAUCUUUUCAGGUAACCAUAUCAAACAUUUUGUUUUUCUUCCAUCACUUAGUAUUUUAAAAAUUUUGGUUGCUAGGUAUUAUGCUGGCACACUAAAGGACACAGGUAAUAAUUGACCUUUAUAAUACAGUAUGAUAAAUUGUGUGAUAGAAGUAAAUAUAGGAGAAAUAUAGACAAAGUUUGCAUUGAUGGAUGCUUAAGAAGACCUCUCCAGAGGGGCCUUACCUAAAGCGGUCCUUGAAGGUUGAUAAGGAGUUGAGGGAAUAAGGUGGGGAGGGAGUUGCCUACAGAGAGAACUGCAUGGCAGACUUAAAAGUGAGAACAAGCUAUGUCUGCCUUGUGAAGCUGUGAAUUUUUCAGUAUAACUGGAACAUAAGAUCCAACUGUAGGGUGGAGUAGGCAGCAGGUCUAGGGGUAGAGUGGUAAGGAUUAUAGGGUUGCUGGAGAGAUAAUUUGGUCUUUCAUGCCUUUUAAAAUAGUUUAAACUGGAUCUAAAAGACUGGACUACCUCUCUCAAUAGUAAAUUAUCAUAUGAAUUUAAGGAAGGUAAACUAAUAAUAAAGUAAGAUAAGAAAUAUGAUUUAUUAAACAUAUAUGCUAGGGUAAAUUACUGUAUUUAAAUGAGAUCUUAUUAUAAAUAUACAUGUAAAAUGCCAUACUGAUCUAAAAGCAUAACAUGAAAUCUUUCAGAUCUGGAUUUCAGUCCUGGUUCCACCACUUACAUUUCUGUGACUUUGUGUCAGUUAGGUAAUUCUUUAUGCUAGUGUCCUCAGCUAUAAAAUGGGGAUAAUAAAAGAAUCCAUCUUCAUAAGCUUUUUGUGAGGAUUAAAUGAGAUUAUGAUAAGCAGUCUAUAAGCAUUUAGUAAGUUAAAUUUAUUACUAUUGUUGUUGCUGUGUAUUACUUUGGCAUCAGUGAUCUUUCCAAUGUAUUUAUAGUCCCUAAUCUCCAUCUCUGUUUGUAUGUGGAUAUAGAGUCAUCUUAAUAUAGGCCAGGAGACAGCAUGAUUGGGAAAGUAAAUUUAUGCGAAAUCAUUUUUUUUAAGUUUUAUUUAUUUAUUUAUUUUUGAAUUUUAUCUUUUUAAUCUUUUUAUUUAAAUUCCAGUUAGUUAACAUACAGUAUAACAUUAGUUUCAGGUGUACAAUAUAGUGAUUCAACACUUCUUUGUAUCACCCCGUGCUCAUCACAAGUUCAUAUUCUUUUAUAGUAUGUAUUUUCAUCUACUAUUUUGAACUAUCUAAAUAGUAACCUGCUGCCUUAAGCGUGUCAUAAGUUUUUCCUCAAGCUUUAGAAACAUUUUUUCUUGCUACAGUUAAAUCAUGUGAUGACAGCCUUGAAAGUAUUAUCGUUCAAAAAUGUAUUUUCCUGAUCCUACUAAGUUGUACAUGUGACUAACCAUGUUAAAUUUAACGUUUUUGUCUUGUUUUGAGUUACGAAUUUUUCAUAAUGAUUUUUUUCAACAAGCAGCUUCUUCCCAUUUUAGAUGCUAGAAUGUGAUCAAUAUAAUGAAAAUUAUAAUAAAUAGUCAAAGCAUCUGAAGUGCUUUGCAUUUUUUUUCUGGUGUAUGGAAUUUACUAGUAACUUCAAAUUAGCUUGCUCUUUUAUUUGGAAAAUGGUUAAAAGUACAUUUGUAUUUUUUAACCCAUGAUGCACCCUUGUUUUAGCCUUUGCUCUGUGUUGAAAUAAGUAAAAUGCUUACUAUCAGUCCUUUUAUGUAAUUUUACUAGUCAUCUUUUGGUUAAAUAAAGCUAACCCUUUACUAGAUUCCUCCAGAAGGGCACAUUGUGUAUCUCGUGAGUUCUAGAAUGUUUUAAACUGUUUUCCUCUGACCUGGAUACCAGCAGGACAGCUUGGGUCCUCUGAUACCCUCUUCCCUUUCUUAUGAAAUCUUUUAAGCCUCCCAUUAUUUUCUACCCUUACAAACUUGCAGCAAGUAGAAGGCCGUAGAAGUUCUUUUGGAAUUUUUUCGCUUUAUUUCUACUUCACAGGUAAUGUGAAGGUCAAAGUGUUUUUUGUCUCCUAGUAGUAUUGAAGGUUUUAUUUCAAGCCAUACAGAGAAAGACAGAUACCAUAUGUUUUCACUCUUAUGUGGAUCCUGAGAAACUUAACAGGAACCCAUGGGGGAGUGAAAGGGGAAAAAAAAAAGAGAGAGAGAGGGGUUAGAGUGGGAGAGAGCCAAAGCAUAAGAAACUCUUAAAAACUGAGAACAGGGGCGCCUGGGUGGCUCAGUCGGUUAAGCGGCCAACUUCGGCUCAGGUCAUGAUUUCGCGGUCCAUGAGUUCGAGCCCCGCGUCGGGCUCUGUGCUGACAGCUCAGAGCCUGGAGCCUGUUUCAGAUUCUGUGUCUCCCUCUCUCAGACCCUCCCCUGUUCAUGCUCUCUCUCUCUCUCUCUCUCUC